CCAUCUUGGAAGCAGCCUGCCACCAUCUUGGGAGCUCUGGGAGCAAGGACCGCCCGGUAACAUUUUGGCAACCAUGAAGGGACCUCCAAAGUGUUUUCUCCUAAGGUUGAGGCUGUACAUUUUUGGGAAGAAUACCACAGAAGUGAUGUUAUUGUCCAUCUAUGCCCCUGCAUCAUAUCACAGCUCCCUGCACAACCCCCUGACCAGUCCCCGGUAACCAGCAU
Gorilla gorilla gorilla (western lowland gorilla) is the source of this 224-nucleotide long non-coding RNA. RefSeq lists it as uncharacterized. The transcript has 3 exons. Lineage: Eukaryota; Metazoa; Chordata; Mammalia; Primates; Hominidae. The record is from RefSeq and is a predicted model, not a curated record.